RNAcentral lists this ribosomal RNA (586 nucleotides) under uncultured bacterium. RNAcentral describes it as "partial 16S ribosomal RNA". It matches the Rfam family "Bacterial small subunit ribosomal RNA", at positions 355 to 1375 of the family's 1533-position model. The record is from RNAcentral.
UGGGGAAUUUUGGACAAUGGGCGAAAGCCUGAUCCAGCAAUGCCGCGUGUGUGAAGAAGGCCUUCGGGUUGUAAAGCACUUUUGUCCGGAAAGAAAUCCUUGGCUCUAAUACAGUCGGGGGAUGACGGUACCGGAAGAAUAAGCACCGGCUAACUACGUGCCAGCAGCCGCGGUAAUACGUAGGGUGCAAGCGUUAAUCGGAAUUACUGGGCGUAAAGCGUGCGCAGGCGGUUUGCUAAGACCGAUGUGAAAUCCCCGGGCUCAACCUGGGAACUGCACUGGUGACUGGCAGGCUAGAGUAUGGCAGAGGGGGGUUAGAAUUCCACGUGUAGCAGUGAAAUGCGUAGAGAUGUGGAGGAAUACCGAUGGCGAAGGCAGCCCCCUGGGCCAAUACUGACGCUCAUGCACGAAAGCGUGGGGAGCAAACAGGAUUAGAUACCCUGGUAGUCCACGCCCUAAACGAUGUCAACUAGUUGUUGGGGAUUCAUUUUCCUUAGUAACGUAGCUAACGCGUGAAGUUGACCGCUGGGGAGUACGGUCGCAAGAUUAAAACUCAAAGGAAUUGACGGGGUCAUAGCUGUUUCCU